Molecule: unclassified non-coding RNA, 279 nt
Filed under: fungal sp.
Lineage: Eukaryota; Fungi
Description: partial internal transcribed spacer region
Rfam family: Eukaryotic small subunit ribosomal RNA (bases 1-45)
Source: RNAcentral
AGUCGUAACAAGGUAUCCGUAGGUGAACCUGCGGAUGGAUCAUUAACACACACAUACACGUCAUUUUCUAGUUGGGCGUUGAAGUUGACAGCAAUGUUGUCUUCCUCGCACACACUAGAAAAUACGCCCUACAGAGAAUUUGUUAAGUCCUUUAACAAAACCAAACAAACUACAAAACCGUUUUACCUAAAAACAUUUACUUUCUUGCUUAACGGCUCGAAAGCAAAACAUACAAUAAUUAAAGACACAAUUUUUGACAAUGGAUAUCUUGGCUCGCUG